Molecule: long non-coding RNA, 900 nt
Filed under: Elaeis guineensis (African oil palm)
Lineage: Eukaryota; Viridiplantae; Streptophyta; Magnoliopsida; Arecales; Arecaceae
Description: long non-coding RNA (EGUI_LNC021227)
Source: RNAcentral
CUCCCUCACAAGAAGCUCUCUCUUACAAAAGUUCUCUCUAGAAAGAUUCCUUUGAACCCCUGAAGCAACUGCUGUCUGCUUCCUGACAGUCUGCCUGAAGCAUCCUGCUCCUGCUCUCUAUCAGUGUCUCUCGAUCUGCUACUACUUUGGAUCCUCUAUCGAACAACCAAAGCCAUCAGUCUACUCUCUGUUUCACCAUAGGAUCUUUUAAAGACCUGAAACUCAGUUGAGAUAGAAGUCGAACUUUAAAUUGGACUCUUGUUGCUUCUCGACCAUUCGAUCGCAUCUCAUAUUUGAAACUGAUCAUUGGAUCGCACCCCAUCAUGACCUCUGAUCACUUGGAAUGGCUUACAGCCAUUGGAUCUUGACCGCAAGCCCUGCAAACCAUCAGAUCGCGCACUGAUCCAUGAGAACCCGUCGUGGACCGUGAAAGACCAGUCUAAAAUGCCCACCGAUCCAUCGUGGACUGUGCGAAACUCAGGAAAAAUGCCUGUCCAAUCCAUGUGGGUCACCAUGAACUGUCGGUCCAUGCACUGCACGUGGACCGUGUGAGAAAAUCAUGCAGGCCAUGCUACGCACGCCCGCUUGGAUCUGGGCCACACCCCACGUGCUCCCGCGCUUGCGAUCAGGCCACACGCUGCCGCAGCCUCCGUCGGUUCACUGCCAGCCUUCGCCACCUCAUGGGCCUUGCCACCUCCUUCGGACUUCUUCCACACGUAAUUUCUCCAUCUGGACUCCAUUUGGACUGAUCUUAGGCUUGUUGGACUUAGUUCAUUGUCGUGGACCUCGCUGUGAGUUAGUGUGAACCGAAUUUCGAGAUAUCAAAUCCUAACAAUCUUUAUUUCGAUUCAACAUUUGGCUUUCUCCUAACUCUGAGAGCUUCGGAUCUCCUCGCCCCCA